This 253-nucleotide ribosomal RNA is filed under the name uncultured bacterium. RNAcentral describes it as "partial 16S ribosomal RNA". It matches the Rfam family "Bacterial small subunit ribosomal RNA", at positions 524 to 776 of the family's 1533-position model. The record is from RNAcentral.
UACGGGGGGGGCAAGCGUUGUUCGGAAUUACUGGGCGUAAAGGGCUCGUAGGUGGCCAACUAAGUCGGACGUGAAAUCCCUCAGCUUAACUGGGGAACUGCGUCUGAUACUGGAUGGCUUGAGUUUGGGAGAGGGAUGCGGAAUUCCAGGUGUAGCGGUGAAAUGCGUAGAUAUCUGGAGGAACACCGGUGGCGAAGGCGGCAUCCUGGAUCAACACUGACACUGAGGAGCGAAAGCCAGGGGAGCAAACGGG